UGGACCUGCGGUGCAUUAGCUAGUUGGUAGGGGUAAACGGGCCUACCAAGGCGAUGAUGCAUAGCCGAGUUGAGAGACUGAUCGGCCACAGUUGGGACUGAGACACGGACCCAAACUCCGUACGGGAGGCAGCAGUAGGGAAUCUUCCACAAUGGACGCAAGUCUGAUGGAGCAACGCCGCGUGAGUGAAGUAAGGGUUUCGGCUACGUAAAGCUCUGUUGUUGGUGAAGAAGGACGAGGGGGUAGUAACUGACCUUUGUUUGACGGUAAUCAAUUAGAAAGUCACGGGCUAACUACGUGCCAGCAGCCGCGGUAAAU
Molecule: ribosomal RNA, 318 nt
Filed under: uncultured Lactobacillales bacterium
Lineage: Bacteria; Bacillati; Bacillota; Bacilli; Lactobacillales
Description: bacterial SSU rRNA
Rfam family: Bacterial small subunit ribosomal RNA
Source: RNAcentral